CCUACGGGAGGCAGCAGUGAGGAAUAUUGGUCAAUGGGCGGGAGCCUGAACCAGCCAAGUCGCGUGAAGGAAGAAGGUACUUAGUAUUGUAAACUUCUUUUGUCGGGGAACAAAUGCCGAGACGCGUCUCCGGAUGAGUGUACCCGAAGAAAAAGCAUCGGCUAACUCCGUGCCAGCAGCCGCGGUAAUACGGAGGAUGCGAGCGUAAUCCGGAUUUAUUGGGUUAAAGGGGUACGCAGGCGGGAGAUCAUGUCAGAGGUAAAAGGUAGGGGAUCAACCCCGGCCGGCCGUUGAAACUGGUUUUCUAGAGUUGGAGAGAGGUAUGUGGAAUUCGUGGUGUAGCGGUGAAAUGCAUAGAUAUCACGAAGAACACCGAUUGCGAAGGCAGCAUACCGGCUCCAUACUGACGCUGAGGCACGAAAGCGUGGGGAUCGAACAGGAUUAGAUACCCUUGUAGUC
Molecule: ribosomal RNA, 459 nt
Filed under: uncultured bacterium
Lineage: Bacteria
Description: partial 16S ribosomal RNA
Rfam family: Bacterial small subunit ribosomal RNA
Source: RNAcentral